RNAcentral lists this unclassified non-coding RNA (308 nucleotides) under plant metagenome. Its description in RNAcentral is "partial contains 5.8S ribosomal RNA, internal transcribed spacer 2, and large subunit ribosomal RNA". The stretch from base 1 to 106 matches the Rfam family "5.8S ribosomal RNA", at positions 50 to 154 of the family's 154-position model. The record is from RNAcentral.
GAAAUGCGAUAAGUAAUGCGAAUUGCAGAAUUUCCGUGAGUCAUCGAAUCUUUGAACGCACAUUGCGCCCACUGGUAUUCCGGUGGGCAUGCCUGUUCGAGCGUCAUUUCAACCCUCAAGCACUGCUUGGUGUUGGGCGUUUGUCCCGCCUACGCGCGUGGACUCGCCUCAAAGUCAUUGGCAGCUGUUCCCCGUCGGCUCGUAAGCGCAGCACAGUCGGCGCCCGGAGCUCUGGUGGGAUGGCGUCCAGCAAGCUAUAUUUUCAGGCUUGACCUCGGAUCAGGUAGGGAUACCCGCUGAACUUAAGC